UUGACCUCGAAUCAGGUAGGAAUACCCGCUGAACU
Molecule: ribosomal RNA, 35 nt
Filed under: Volutella sp. CABI IMI265311
Lineage: Eukaryota; Fungi; Ascomycota; Sordariomycetes; Hypocreales; Nectriaceae
Also listed under: 1 other name
Description: partial 28S ribosomal RNA
Source: RNAcentral